UAGAGGGGGGUAGAAUUCCAGGUGUAGCGGUGAAAUGCGUAGAGAUCUGGAGGAAUACCGGUGGCGAAGGCGGCCCCCUGGACGAGACUGACGCUCAGGUGCGAAAGCGUGGGGAGCAAACAGGAUUAGAUACCCUGGUAGUCCACGCCGUAAACGAUGUCGACUUGGAGGUUGUGCCCUUGAGGCGUGGCUUCCGGAGCUAACGCGUUAAGUCGACCGCCUGGGGAGUACGGCCGCAAGGUUAAAACUCAAAUGAAUUGACGGGGGCCCGCACAAGCGGUGGAGCAUGUGGUUUAAUUCGAUGCAACGCGAAGAACCUUACCUGGUCUUGACAUCCACGGAAGUUUUCAGAGAUGAGAAUGUGCCUUCGGGAACCGUGAGACAGGUGCUGCAUGGCUGUCGUCAGCUCGUGUUGUGAAAUGUUGGGUUAAGUCCCGCAACGAGCGCAACCCUUAUCCUUUGUUGCCAGCGGUCCGGCCGGGAACUCAAAGGAGACUGCCAGUGAUAAACUGGAGGAAGGUGUGGAUGACGUCAAGUCAUCAUGGCCCUUACGACCAGGGCUACACACGUGCUACAAUGGCGCAUACAAAGAGAAGCGACCUCGCGAGAGCAAGCGGACCUCAUAAAGUGCGUCGUAGUCCGGAUUGGAGUCUGCAACUCGACUCCAUGAAGUCGGAAUCGCUAGUAAUCGUGGAUCAGAAUGCCACGGUGAAUACGUUCCCGGGCCUUGUACACACCGCCCGUCACACCAUGGGAGUGGGUUGCAAAAGAAGUAGGUAGCUUAACCUUCGGGAGGG
RNAcentral lists this ribosomal RNA (797 nucleotides) under uncultured Shigella sp. RNAcentral's name for it is "bacterial SSU rRNA". It matches the Rfam family "Bacterial small subunit ribosomal RNA", at positions 652 to 1450 of the family's 1533-position model. The record is from RNAcentral. Lineage: Bacteria; Pseudomonadati; Pseudomonadota; Gammaproteobacteria; Enterobacterales; Enterobacteriaceae.